RNAcentral lists this ribosomal RNA (245 nucleotides) under uncultured bacterium. RNAcentral's name for it is "partial small subunit ribosomal RNA". It matches the Rfam family "Bacterial small subunit ribosomal RNA", at positions 26 to 285 of the family's 1533-position model. The record is from RNAcentral.
AGAAUCAACGCUGGCGGCGUGCCUAACACAUGCAAGUCGCACGAGAAAGGGACUUCGGUCCCGAGUAAAGUGGCGCACGGGUGAGUAACACGUGAAUCAUCUACCUUCGAGUGGGGAAUAACUGAGAGAAAUCUUAGCUAAUACCGCAUAAUACCUACGGGUCAAAGCAGCAAUGCGCUUGAAGAGGAGUUCGCGGCAGAUUAGUUAGUUGGCGGGGUAAUGGCCCACCAAGACGAUGAUCUGUA